GAUGAACGCUGGCGGCGUGCCUAAUACAUGCAAGUCGAGCGAACAGACGAGGAGCUUGCUCCUCUGACGUUAGCGGCGGACGGGUGAGUAACACGUGGAUAACCUACCUAUAAGACUGGGAUAACUUCGGGAAACCGGAGCUAAUACCGGAUAAUAUAUUGAACCGCAUGGUUCAAUAGUGAAAGACGGUUUUGCUGUCACUUAUAGAUGGAUCCGCGCCGCAUUAGCUAGUUGGUAAGGUAACGGCUUACCAAGGCAACGAUGUGUAGCCGACCUGAGAGGGUGAUCGGCCACACUGGAACUGAGACACGGUCCAGACUCCUACGGGAGGCAGCAGUAGGGAAUCUUCCGCAAUGGGCGAAAGCCUGACGGAGCAACGCCGCGUGAGUGAUGAAGGUCUUCGGAUCGUAAAACUCUGUUAUUAGGGAAGAACAAAUGUGUAAGUAACUAUGUACGUCUUGACGGUACCUAAUCAGAAAGCCACGGCUAACUACGUG
Molecule: ribosomal RNA, 497 nt
Filed under: uncultured bacterium
Lineage: Bacteria
Description: partial 16S ribosomal RNA
Rfam family: Bacterial small subunit ribosomal RNA
Source: RNAcentral